This 457-nucleotide ribosomal RNA is filed under the name uncultured bacterium. RNAcentral describes it as "bacterial SSU rRNA". It matches the Rfam family "Bacterial small subunit ribosomal RNA", at positions 28 to 524 of the family's 1533-position model. The record is from RNAcentral.
GGUGAAUGCUGGCGGCGUGGAUAAGUCAUGCAAGUCAAGGGGGCCCGCAAGGGCAACCGGCAAACGAGGUAGUAACACGUAGGUAGACCCCCCCAGAGUCGGGCAUAGCCAGCCGAAAGGUUGGGUAAUUCCCGAUAGUCCCGAAAGGGUAAAGGUUUUUCGUCUCUGGGAGUUGCCUGCGUAGUAUCAGCUAGUUGGUAGGGUAAUGGCCUACCAAGGCUACGACGCUUAGGGGAGCUGAGAGGCUGACCCCCACCGAUGGAACUGCGACACGGUCCAUACUCCUACGGGAGGCUGCAGACGAGAAUAUUCCGCAAUGGGCGAAAGCCUGACGGAGCGACGCCGCGUGAUUGAUGAAGUGCUUCGGUACGUAAAGAUCUUUUAUCGGGGGACGAAGUUUAUUGACGGUACCCGAUGAAUAAGGGGCUCCUAACUCUGUGCCAGCAGCCGCGGUAAU